Molecule: long non-coding RNA, 2939 nt
Filed under: Marmota monax (woodchuck)
Lineage: Eukaryota; Metazoa; Chordata; Mammalia; Rodentia; Sciuridae
Source: RNAcentral
GUUCUAACUCACUCUUUCCUCUGGGCCAGUUGCUAAAUGCUAGUUCUAUGAAGAUCCGAUUUACCAAAUGACCAAUUCCCCGAUUUUUUAUUGUUUCCUAGAACUUGUGUUUUAGUUGGGCAGUUUUCAAUUUGUGUUUAUAUCAGCAGAUUCAGACUGUCAUUUUAUGUCUGUCUCAGUACCCUGAGAACGGGGGUGGGAGUAAUGCCAGGGAUUUGGGAAGGCAGGAGGAGAGGACGCUGUAAGCAAAUAACCUUGACUGUGGAAUUCAGCCAACAGGUCAUUUAUUAAAGUAGUGGUCAUGAGACAAGUGUUUCCUAUUCAGGUUAUGCUCAGGUGCAGAUGUAGCCUGCUGGUAGAGCCUGCACUGAGCUUGUGUGAGGCCCUGGGUUCAAACCCUGGCAACUUACCCCUUCCCGCAGCCAAAAGGCUGUAUUUUUACAAUGUGUUUUUCAUGAUACAUUCUACUUUUUCCAUCUGAAGGGGUGGAGGAGGUAGCAGGUUGUGUAUGUCACAUUUGAUCUUCCUUUUUUCUUGUGAAAGAAGCCUUCCAUUUCUUCGCAUUUCCCUCUCUCCCUGAAGGCUGAGAGGGCUGGGGAGUUAUAAGUAAAUGCAUGUGGCUGAUGCCUCGUUUAGAAAGUCUUGCAAAGAGACUCAGAAAGCGUGCUCCUUAUCCACCUGUCUGGAGUGUGGUCACAAUGGCUGGAUCUGCAUAUUGGGACCAUAUGGGACCCGUAUUGGGAUCAUGAGGUAAUCUUGAUGCAGAGAGACUGAAUAUGUAAAUCGACAGUGUUCACACCACAGAUAGAACUCAGACCAGGUGCAGGGACACAAGCCUCUAGUCCCAGCUUCUUAGGAGGAUGAGGCAGGAGGACCAGAAGUUCAAGGUCAACCUGGGCAACAUAGACCCAUCCCAACAAAUAAGUAGAAUAAUACAGAAAGAACUCGGUCCCACAGCCUGCAGCAGCCAGCCUCAAUCACCAACUCACCAUCCAUAGCAACAGCCCAGGAAGCCUGCUUGGUAUCUACAAUUUAGAUUUGUAGGAAUUCAAACCGGUGCUUCUAGUAACUGGUUCAGAAAGCCACCGAAUGAUAAGCCCAUAAUAAUUGGCUCAAAACGUCCAGGACUUGAUUGAUAACUGUCCGCUUCCGUGCUUUGUGAUCCCGCUUCCAAUUUUGCACUGUAUAGAAAAAGCCCAGUCUGCACCAAUCCCAGAAGACGUGCGCAGCGCCCUACCAGGGCCGCCCAUGCGCGCCCAAGCCCUGGCGCCUUCCCGUGUCCACUGUGGAGCUCCCUUACCCCCAGCCUCAAGUCUCUGCCAGACACGGAGCAGGCUGCUGAGCUCCUUAUUGAUGGUGAAGCAGAAACUAGGGAUUCCGAUCGCAGGUGGAAGGGGCCUGCUGUCCUAGCCCAGACUGCCCCAGAAAUUGAAUCAAACAAAGUCUCCCAGCCUGAAAAAACCUCUCCAUGAAGUCAGGAGAGAAAGAAAACAUUAUCAAAUGAGCAUUGUUGAGAACUCGGCACACGUCGCAGCCUCUCCAGGAACUGCAAGGAUGGCAGGCCCCACAGCUGCGUCUGGGUAGGUUCCGGGUCAGGUGUGCUCAGCUCACCAUGUCUUUACGCUGGGCAAGGACGUGCAGUGUGGAGUCUGUGGCCCCCUGGUGAGGCCUGUCUCCUCCCAGGACACCCAGAGACGAUCCUGAGUCAGGGCUACCAGGCGUUUGGCUGCCCAUGUGAUGCCCACGGCCAAUAGGAGGAGAUGCAAGUUGUGUCGGGGUGAGACACUCGUGUAUGGUUUUCCAGUAGCCAGAACCCAAACAGGACAUCCAGCCAGUGCACAGUUUUGAGGUUUUUUUCCCCAAAGAAAACAGCCUGGAACUUUCUCUUUGAAUGUUGUCCUUUCUCUUUCUGUUUCUUUUCUUAGAGGACAGACAUGAGCUGCGUAUUCUGUCUUGUCUUAUGUUUCAUUUCCCUGUGCUACAGAUGGAGCUUCCGGCUCAUUAGUUCCCUCUUCAGCUGUUUCUGGCCUGCUGUACAAUCCUUAUGCCCAUGAAUCAUAAUAAACCUAGCUCACAUUUCUAUUCACUUAAAAAUUCUUUUAAAAAUGAUAUCUUGUUUCAUGGUUCAUAAAUGCUAUUUUUUUAUCCAUUCUAUCUAAAAUAAGCCUACCUUAAAUACACAGAUACUAAUAGAUUAAGAAGGAAAGGGGGGUAAAGGCUGGGAAUGCAGCUCAGGGCCACGUGUGUGCUCAGCAUGCACCAGUUCAGUCCUAAGCACCCCAGUAAAUAGGUAGAGAGGGUCGGAAAAGCUAUGCCCCAGACACGUAAAUUAUAAAAACAGCUGGAGUGAAAUGGUGAUGUCAGUAGGGAAUGGACAGAUGAGAGUGGUGGGAAUACACACAGGGUUAAGGGAAUAAUUCUAUAAAAUGGGCCCCCUGGGCUGUGGCUGUGGCUCAGUGAUAGAGUGCUUGCCUGGCAUGUGUGAGGUUCAGUUCUCAGCACCACAUGUAAAUAAAGAUCCAUCAGCAACUAAAAAUAAAUAAAUAAAUGGCUCCCUGUGCUGAUCCAUGUGCUUUCACUUUUAAAAAGCCAUCUCCCUGCAGCCCUGCCUGGCUUAAGUCCACAGGAUAAGUCAGUCCUCAGAAAGCCACCUGCCAUCUGCAGGGGAAAUGGAGGCCCCCGAGUGCUGAUAAGAACCCCGAGGGGAGACUUUGUGACCCUGACGCAGACUAGAUCCUGGAAUCGGGGAGAUAAGGAUAAUUCCCCAGCCGUAAGUUCUGUAAAACAGGCUCCAAUUAGAACUGGUCAGCGUGGGCCAAAGUGAUCUAGAGUUGCCAUGUCAUCCUGCUGUCAUCAAAAGUCAAGAGGUGGACCUAGGCAGGCCUCUGGAAACUUCCCUGGGACUCCAGUAAAACUGGAGGUCAGGAGAGGAGCACUGU